GAAAGAAUUAUUCUAAAUAUAGAAAAAAAAUAUACUAGACAUCCCUAAUUUUGGAAAUAAAUUGAUCCAAUUUAGAAGGAUGGGAGAGUCCACUAGGCAUAAAUGGGUUAAUAUAAAUACAAAGAACUUUUACUGAAGAUUGAUGCUAACCAUUAGGUCUCCUUUAUAGGUAUGCUCCAUGAUAGUGUUGUAGGUCUCCUUUAAAGGUAUGCUCCAUGAUAGUGUUGUAGGUCUCCUUUAAAGGUAUGCUCCAUGAUAGUGUUGUAGGUCUCUUUUAUAGGUAUGCUCCAUGAUAGUGAUGUAGGUCUCUUUUAUAGGUAUGCUCCAUGAUAGUGUUGUAGGUCUCCUUUAUAGGUAUGCUCCAUGAUAGUGUUGUAGGUCUCCUUUAUAGGUAUGCGCCAUGAUAGUGUUGUAGGUCUCCUUUAUAGGUAUGCUCCAUGAUAGUGUUGUAGGUCUCCUUUAUAGGUAUGCUCCAUGAUAGUGUCGUAGGUCUCCUUUAUAGGUAUGCUCCAUGAUGGUGUUGGAGUUAUUGUGGUCUCCUUUAUAGGUAUGCUCCAUGAUAGUGUUAGAGUUAUUGUGGUCUCCUUUAUAGGUAUGCUCCAUGAUAAUGUUGGAGUUAUUGU
Dreissena polymorpha is the source of this 623-nucleotide long non-coding RNA. RefSeq lists it as uncharacterized. The transcript has 3 exons. The record is from RefSeq and is a predicted model, not a curated record. NCBI's taxonomy places the organism in Eukaryota, Metazoa, Mollusca, Bivalvia, Myida, Dreissenidae.